AAUCCAUAGGUUAAUGAGGCGAACCGGGGGAACUGAAACAUCUAAGUACCCCGAGGAAAAGAAAUCAACCGAGAUUCCCCCAGUAGCGGCGAGCGAACGGGGAGGAGCCCAGAGCCUGAAUCAGCAUGUGUGUUAGUGGAAGCGUCUGGAAAGGCGCGCGAUACAGGGUGACAGCCCCGUACACAAAAGCGCAUGUGCUGUGAGCUCGAUGAGUAGGGCGGGACACGUGGUAUCCUGUCUGAAUAUGGGGGGACCAUCCUCCAAGGCUAAAUACUCCUGACUGACCGAUAGUGAACCAGUACCGUGAGGGAAAGGCGAAAAGAACCCCGGCGAGGGGAGUGAAAAAGAACCUGAAACCGUGUACGUACAAGCAGUGGGAGCACAGGUUUACCUGUGUGACUGCGUACCUUUUGUAUAAU
RNAcentral lists this ribosomal RNA (419 nucleotides) under Salmonella enterica subsp. enterica. RNAcentral describes it as "partial 23S ribosomal RNA". It matches the Rfam family "Bacterial large subunit ribosomal RNA", at positions 161 to 616 of the family's 2925-position model. Lineage: Bacteria; Pseudomonadati; Pseudomonadota; Gammaproteobacteria; Enterobacterales; Enterobacteriaceae. The record is from RNAcentral. RNAcentral also lists the same sequence under 1 other name.